Solanum dulcamara is the source of this 332-nucleotide long non-coding RNA. RefSeq lists it as uncharacterized. The transcript is spliced from 2 exons. The record is from RefSeq and is a predicted model, not a curated record. NCBI's taxonomy places the organism in Eukaryota, Viridiplantae, Streptophyta, Magnoliopsida, Solanales, Solanaceae.
AUAUAUAUAUAUAUAUAUAUAUUAUUAUUAUUAUUAAACUUGCAUUACGUAUUGAUGUUGAGUUCUGAGCGUCCUUACUUUCCUGCCAUUUUACAUACUCGUACAUUCCACGUACUGACAUCAUUAGACCUGCAUCGAUUUAUGAUACAGAUACAGGUGUUAGAGAUCUUCAACAGGCACAUCGUUGAAGAUAUUUUUCAGCUAUUUGGUAGCCAUGGACAUGUCAUUGGCACCAUCUGAUAGUGUUAGAGGCUUCGUAGACAGAGUUUGAUGAUGUAAUUGGAGUAGUUCUCCAAACUACUUCUUCUAAGAUUUAUUUUUAUUUGAUGUUG